Oncorhynchus masou masou (cherry salmon) is the source of this 3707-nucleotide long non-coding RNA. RefSeq lists it as uncharacterized. Lineage: Eukaryota; Metazoa; Chordata; Actinopteri; Salmoniformes; Salmonidae. The transcript is spliced from 2 exons. The record is from RefSeq and is a predicted model, not a curated record.
UUAGUUCUCCUGUAGAUGGCCAGCCGGUUUAGUUCUCCUGUAGAUGGCCAGCAGGUUUAGUUCUCCUGUAGAUGGCCAGCAGGUUUAGUUCUCCUCUAGAUGGCCAGCCGGUUUAGUUCUCCUGUAGAUGGCCAGCAGGUUUAGUUCUCCUGUAGAUGGCCAGCUUCAUGUCAACAACACGUGUUUUAUUUAGCCUGCUGCUUACAUUCUAGGUUUUAUAGUCAUUAACCUCAGUGUGUGUUUUUCAGUGAUGGCCUGUUAUCUGGACUGAAAAAUAGUUGCUUACUUCCUCCUGUACAGUUAAUAACCCUCUGUGUUGUGGCCCUCCCAGGUCAUCCAAGGCCCCACACUGGAUUGACUUGACAUAAUCCUCUUGGCCCCCUUGGGAGCAUAGGGCAUCUACCAUGGCUCUCCACCUCCCUCACUAUGCUAGGGCAUCCAUCACGGCUCGCCACCUCUCUCACUAUGAUGGAGCAUCCAUCACGGCUCUCCACCUCCCUCACUAUGCUAGGGCAUCCAUCACGGCUCGUCACCUCUCUCACUAUGAUGGAGCAUCCAUCACGGCUCUCCACCUCCCUCACUAUGCUAGGGCAUCCAUCACGGCUCUCCACCUCCCUCACUAUGCUAGGGCAUCCAUCACGGCUCUCCACCUCCCUCACUAUGCUAGGGCAUCCAUCACGGCUCUCCACCUCCCUCACUAUGCUAGGGCUUUGCUGCUUAGCAGGAGAUCCCCCACUAGUUUAUUGGAGAUGCAUUCUCUAUGAACUUACAUUCCAGUCAGAGUAUGGUAACUCUAUUGGAGGGUAGCUGGCGGCUGCCAUGAAUGGAAAGGUAGACUAGUGGACUAGGCAUGUGUGAAGGAGAGAUAAGGAAGGGAAGAGAGUAGAGAGGGAUGGGUUCCAAGGAUCAGUGUUGUCCUGGCCUAACUGGCCUCUACUCAACAUGUCCAUACUACAGAGACUACAGUCUCACCAUUGGCUGUAGCAUUAGUCCACAGAGCAGGUCUCUGUCUGACUACAUAGACGGGGUCGUGUGAUCUCUGGAAGGCAGAGGACAUUCUGGGAGCACUUGUCUCUAACAGUGUUAAGCCGAUGCCAUGGUUACCCAUAUCAUUCACUCUACGGUAAUGGAGCAGUAGACUGAUGAAUACUUGGUCACGUGCCCACAGAGAGAUGAAGAGAUCUGUUUGUUCUUUCUCUCCUCUCCCUCUGUUCUCUCUCUUUCUCUCCUCUCCCUCUGGACAGCUCUACCCUCUCACUCCGUUCAGCUCAGAAUGGUCCAAGGGAAAGACACACAGCUUCAGGCAUCAUUACCUUUUCUGUCUGACUGUGUGUGUGUGUACGAUGUGCAUGUGUGUUUUGGAACAUGACCAAGCUUCUGUUUUUCCCCUCUCUGUUUUCCCAACUGCAUAGAGACACAAUGACAGAGUUCUCUGACCACUUAUAACAUAACCAUCCACAAGGUCUUGCACUGCAGCUCAUAGCAUAGCUGAACAGUACAGACAACCAACAGUUAAUUUCACUUUGUUAGACUUGUGCUUAGGGUUAUUUUUGUUUCCUCUAAAUUGACUGGCUUAUAGGAUGUAAGAGUGGCUUCGUGGUCACCAAGCUACUGUUAAUGCUCUGUUGAUACCAGGCUACAUUAUGGAUCACCACUAUGGAUCCCUGUCUUGUUUCAAUGUGUUUAUAUUAUCAGAGCUGGCUGUGUCAGGGUGGUGUAGUGCCCUAUUAGGAAGACCUUCAGGUGAACCUGGCUUAGCUUAAGUCUGGGUCUUACCUGGGUCAGGUCAUCCCAGUCUGACUAGGCACAUUUCUGAGGGAUCUACUACUAUUGUAUAAUGUAUGACUGUCAAACUAGGGAUUGUAUAAUGUAUGACUGUCACUUCACAGUAUUUUGUCCAGUGUUUUCACUUCUAUUCCUGAAUGAGUUAGCGAUCCAUGACUGACCUCUACUUCUGGGACAGUGUCCACAAAGCACCUUGGGGUAGGAGUGCUGAUCUGCGAUCAGAAACCCACCUUUCCAUAUGAUCUUAUCAAUUAUGGUCUGAAAGGCCAAACUGAUCUGAGGUCAGCCCUAGACUCUGAGACGCUCUAUGUAUACAUGCCCAGAUCUGUGUUAUUCUAGGGUCUGGAUCAUAUCAUUGUUUCUCUGAACCAUAAGGAGAGCAGCUCUGCUAGCAUAUCCUCUUAAUGGGUCAUCUCUGACUGAAGCCUCCUCAAACAUGGUGAAAACUGUCUUACCCUAUUAGAUAGGAUGCUGUGGACAAGUUAUUACAUCUUAGUUGGAUAAGUAAUGCUGUCUCCCAAUAGGGCCGAAAACUGUUAAAGGGAUGUGCUCUGCUAGUGUUUUACUUCAGAAAGACAUAGACAUUCAUCCAUCCAUAGCAUACUGGUUGGGCAGGCAGGGUACUUAGACUCUGUCAAGGCACCUAAUCAUUGCCCCUUAGAAACUAUUGCCUUGUCUGAAAUCUACCUUCAGACACUUCUUGUCAAUCUCCCUAGGUACUGCUGGUACUCCGGUAGGUUGCAAAGGAUUGCAUGGAUUUAGCUAAAAGCGUUGUGAUAAGAACUCCACCUAGCUUCCUUGUAGGGUACAUUGAGUUUCCACCAUGUGCUUCUCUCAAAUCUAGUGUGUCUUUGGUUGGAACCUAAGGGGUUGAUUGUGGAUUGGGUGUGUGCUAAGGGGUUGUUGUUUUUUUACGUGACAUGCCCUUGCUUUCGACAGGGUUUAUUUGGAGUGCUCUGUAGUUGAAUGCAUGAGACUACUGCAUUUGUGUGUUGCCCGUUGUCUGAAUUGUGACACUGAUUUGAACCAGUAGGGGGGGACAUAACCCACACAACCGUUUUAAAACUACUGAAGUGACUGCAAGUUGUACUUCCAUGUACACACUGUAUGUACAUAGUCAUUCUCUGGCUGUAUGAGUUUGCUUGCCUUAUCACUCUGUUCUAGAAUACAGGUUUGUUUUUCCCGCUUUUUAAAACUAGAUUUAUUUUUUUCUUUAUUUGGAAUUUAAUCUGAAAUCUUAUUAGACAUCAUAUUGCAUUUCCUUAAGAGGCACCUCAGCCCCUCUGUAAGGCCAUAUGCUGUGAAGAGUGCUACUUGUGUUUUUAAUCUCUUCUGAAUUUCUCUCUUCUAUCUCAACGAGAUGCAUUUUAAUUGGUCAGAGAUAGCCAAAUAACAAUAACAUUUCCUUGUCCCAGUCCUGCAGGACAUUGCUCAGUAGAGAAGGGGAAUUCCUCUGACAUUGUGUGUUUGGUAACGACCUAACUGAAGUCAUGUUGUCCCGACCCGUCUGUUCUUCCCUUACUAUCAGGCUGGUUACCGUAUCCACGGCAACAUGGCAAUUCCUUUUUUUCUAUUCUGCUUUGCUACAGUUUGCACAGAAGAAAAGAUGGCACACACUGUAAACACAUUCUUGCUGUCAUGGCAACACUACGUGACAUUUUAACCAGUGUUCAUUUUAUUUUGUAAUAUUUGUUUAUUUAUUGCUGUGUGUUUGGUAUCAGUGUUAUUGUGUUCAGGAACUCUCAUUGUGAGAGAAUAUUCUACAUUAAUAUAUUUUGUGCCAAUUAUCAAUACUCCACUGUUAUAAAGGACAUGAUGUUUCUGUGCUAAGAUAAUGGUGUUUAACAUGGACUGAAUGACAGUCAUAUACCAAUAACAACACUACUAAUAAAGAAAAUAAAUAUUUUAUUAUGUGUUUUCAA